GUCUACCAUACCACCACCCUGAACAUGCCCGAUCUCUUCUGAUCUCAGAAGCUAAGCAGGGUUGGGCCUGGUUAGUACUUGGAUGGGAGAAUGAGAGAGACAGAGACACCUGCAGCCC
Molecule: ribosomal RNA, 118 nt
Organism: Erinaceus europaeus (western European hedgehog)
Lineage: Eukaryota; Metazoa; Chordata; Mammalia; Eulipotyphla; Erinaceidae
Source: Ensembl